CCCGUUGUUAGAGAGAGAGACAGAGGUCCCGAACAAUUUUCCAAUUGCCGUUUCGAUCCCAGCCAAACAAACAAUCAUGAGCAACGACUAGUAUGUCCAAUUUUCCUUCUCUCCAAACGCCUCUUUUCCUAACUCUCUCUUCCAUUCCCACCACCUGCAUUUACAAAUACAAGCUUUUGCUAAUCGGGGACUCCUCUGUGGGAAAAUCUUGUUUGCUCCUCAGAUUCGCGGAUGAUUCCUAUGUUGACAGCUACAUAAGUACCAUUGGAGUUGAUUUUAAAAUCAGAACUGUGGAGCUGGAUGGAAAGACAAUCAAGCUGCAGAUUUGGGAUACUGCUGGACAGGAGCGGUUCAGGACAAUUACAAGUAGUUAUUACCGAGGAGCCCAUGGAAUAAUUAUUGUCUAUGAUGUUACUGAGAAGGAGAGUUUCAACAAUGUCAAGCAGUGGUUGAAUGAAAUUGACAGAUACGCAAAUGAAAGUGUAUGCAAGCUUCUAGUAGGGAAUAAGUGUGAUUUGGUCGAGAACAAGGUUGUGGACACACAAACUGCGAAGGCAUUUGCAGAUGAGCUUGGAAUCCCAUUCCUUGAGACAAGUGCUAAAGACUCGAUCAAUGUGGAGCAAGCUUUCUUAACCAUGGCUGGCGAGAUCAAGAAAAAGGGUUGGCUCAAGUGGUAAGAGGCUUGGUCUUGGGGGAGGGGAUACCAAGGCUCUUAGCAUUGGGUGCAAACAAUUUCUAUGAGCCACGUCCCACAGGCAAAAAGGCCGAUGAUUUAUCCGAUUAUUAUGAUGUGGUUGCAUUACACGGGGUCUGGUGUUUAGCCGGAUAAAAGACAUGUUGCGAUUAAUGGGUAACCAACCAACUGCGAACAAGUCAACAGGAACUGUUCAAAUGAAGGGGCAGCCAAUCCAGCAGAACAGCAGCUGUUGUGGUUAAGCAUGGCUACUAUAGUUUUCAAUUUGCCGUUACAAAAUUGCUAGACACUGAUCUCAUCUCAGAAACUGUUGACUGUAGUCCCAAAUGGAUAUAUCAGAAACUGUUAAAUAUGUCUAUUUUAAUUCAAUCCUGAUCUUUUGGGAAAA
This is an RNA transcript of Juglans microcarpa x Juglans regia, 1082 nucleotides long. It is a transcript of the gene named ras-related protein RABD1-like, with no coding region annotated. NCBI's taxonomy places the organism in Eukaryota, Viridiplantae, Streptophyta, Magnoliopsida, Fagales, Juglandaceae. The record is from RefSeq and is a predicted model, not a curated record. The transcript has 9 exons.